Molecule: transfer RNA, 71 nt
Filed under: Loxodonta africana (African savanna elephant)
Lineage: Eukaryota; Metazoa; Chordata; Mammalia; Proboscidea; Elephantidae
Rfam family: tRNA
About the family: Transfer RNA (tRNA) molecules are approximately 80 nucleotides in length. Their secondary structure includes four short double-helical elements and three loops (D, anti-codon, and T loops).
Source: Rfam by way of RNAcentral
ACAUUGGUGGUUCAGUGUUAGAAUUCUUGCCUUCCAUGCAGGAAGCCCAGAUAUGAUUCCCGGCCAAUGCA